UACGAAGGGGGCUAGCGUUGCUCGGAAUCACUGGGCGUAAAGGGUGCGUAGGCGGGUCUUUAAGUCAGGGGUGAAAUCCUGGAGCUCAACUCCAGAACUGCCUUUGAUACUGAGGAUCUUGAGUUCGGGAGAGGUGAGUGGAACUGCGAGUGUAGAGGUGAAAUGCGUAGAUAUCCGGAGGAACACCAGUGGCGAAGGCGACUUUCUGGCCUGUUCUUGACGCUGAGGCGCGAAAGCUAGGGGAGCAAACGGG
This 253-nucleotide ribosomal RNA is filed under the name uncultured bacterium. RNAcentral's name for it is "partial 16S ribosomal RNA". It matches the Rfam family "Bacterial small subunit ribosomal RNA", at positions 524 to 776 of the family's 1533-position model. The record is from RNAcentral.